Molecule: ribosomal RNA, 550 nt
Filed under: uncultured archaeon
Lineage: Archaea
Description: bacterial SSU rRNA
Rfam family: Archaeal small subunit ribosomal RNA
Source: RNAcentral
GGUGCAGCAGGCGCGAAAACUUUACCAUGCUGGAAACAGCGAUAAGGGGACCUCGAGUGCCAGGUUACAAAUCUGGCUGUCGUGAUGCCUAAAAAGCAUUGCAUAGCAAGGGCCGGGCAAGACCGGUGCCAGCCGCCGCGGUAACACCGGCGGCUCGAGUGGUAACCGUUAUUAUUGGGUCUAAAGGGUCUGUAGCCGGCCGGAUAAGUCUCUUGGGAAAUCCAGCAGCUCAACUGUUGGGCUUUCAGGAGAUACUGUCUGGCUCGAGGCCGGGAGAGGUGAGAGGUACUUCAGGGGUAGGGGUGAAAUCUUGUAAUCCUUGAAGGACCACCAGUGGCGAAGGCGUCUCACCAGAACGGACCUGACGGCAAGGGACGAAAGCUAGGGGCACGAACCGGAUUAGAUACCCGGGUAGUCCUAGCCGUAAACGAUACUCGCUAGGUGUCGGCCACGGUGCGACCGUUGUCGGUGCCGUAGGGAAGCCGUGAAGCGAGCCACCUGGGAAGUACGGCCGCAAGGCUGAAACUUAAAGGAAUUGGCGGGGGAGCAC